CGUGAGAACGUGCCUUCUGGUUCGGAAUAACCCUGGGAAACUAGGGCUAAUACCGGAUACGCCCUUUUGGGGAAAGGUUUACUGCCGGAAGAUCGGCCCGCGUCUGAUUAGCUAGUUGGUGGGGUAACGGCCUACCAAGGCGACGAUCAGUAGCUGGUCUGAGAGGAUGAUCAGCCACACUGGGACUGAGACACGGCCCAGACUCCUACGGGAGGCAGCAGUGGGGAAUAUUGGACAAUGGGCGCAAGCCUGAUCCAGCCAUGCCGCGUGAGUGAUGAAGGCCUUAGGGUUGUAAAGCUCUUUUAUCCGGGACGAUAAUGACGGUACCGGAGGAAUAAGCCCCGGCUAACUUCGUGCCAGCAGCCGCGGUAAUACGAAGGGGGCUAGCGUUGCUCGGAAUCACUGGGCGUAAAGGGCGCGUAGGCGGCGUUUUAAGUCGGGGGUGAAAGCCUGUGGCUCAACCACAGAAUGGCCUUCGAUACUGGGACGCUUGUCUAAUACGACUCACGAUAGGGCGAAUUGAAUUUAGCGGCCGCGACUUCACCCUUGGGACGGGUGAGUAAGGCGUGAUAAUGGGAUCCGAUACCCCAGUAGUCACGGACGGGUGAGUAACGCGUCAAUGGGAUUAGAUACCCACAGUAGUC
RNAcentral lists this ribosomal RNA (644 nucleotides) under uncultured Methylobacterium sp. Its description in RNAcentral is "bacterial SSU rRNA". It matches the Rfam family "Bacterial small subunit ribosomal RNA", at positions 116 to 795 of the family's 1533-position model. Lineage: Bacteria; Pseudomonadati; Pseudomonadota; Alphaproteobacteria; Hyphomicrobiales; Methylobacteriaceae. The record is from RNAcentral.